UUUUCAAAUGAUUUUAAAAAAGUUUCCUACUUUUCUAUUCUGCUGGUCCCUUUUUCAAGAGAAAAAAAAAACCAAAAACUAUUUCCUUCCCCUUUUUCAUUUUCAUUUCUAUGAAACAAACCUCUCUCUCACCAAGUUCAAGUGAGAAAGCUCCUAUUUUGCCCUCCGAGUACUCGUCCCCCUCUUCUUUUCCAUAGCCUAAACGAGAAACCUUAGGGGUUUCGUGGCCCUUUUGGAUCGGGGAAUCUCCAAUGGGGGCGGGACGCGAAGAAUAGGUAGUGAGUGAAGAAGGAACAACCACCCAUGUUUUUGGCCUGAAAAUCUGGGAAGUGGGUGCCCCAAAUCAUGUAAUCUGUUUGAAGGACCAAAUCACAAAUGCAGCAAAACUUCUGGGGCUAAAUGUAAUUUUUAGAAAAUUUAGGGUUAAAUGUAAUUUAAGGAAAGUUCAGGGGUCUAAGAUGUAAUUUUUUUGAAAUUUUUUCAUUUUUUAUUUUAUUUUAUUGAAAUUUUAGAACUUAAACACGAAUUCUAGUCGGACAAAAAUUUAGUGCUUACACUAUUAAUCUUGUAAUAAAUAUUUUCUCAUACUA
This is a long non-coding RNA of Gossypium arboreum, 590 nucleotides long. RefSeq lists it as uncharacterized. The record is from RefSeq and is a predicted model, not a curated record. The transcript has 2 exons. NCBI's taxonomy places the organism in Eukaryota, Viridiplantae, Streptophyta, Magnoliopsida, Malvales, Malvaceae.